Molecule: ribosomal RNA, 775 nt
Filed under: uncultured Rhizophagus
Lineage: Eukaryota; Fungi; Glomeromycota; Glomeromycetes; Glomerales; Glomeraceae
Description: SSU rRNA
Rfam family: Eukaryotic small subunit ribosomal RNA
Source: RNAcentral
GGCCUACCAUGGUGGUAACGGGUAACGGGGUGUUAGGGCACGACACCGGAGAGGGAGCCUGAGAAACGGCUACCACAUCCAAGGAUGGCAGCAGGCGCGCAAAUUACCCAAUCCCGACACGGGGAGGUAGUGACAAUAAAUAACAAUACGGGGUUCUUUAGGAUCUCGUAAUUGGAAUGAGUACAAUUUAAAUCUCUUAACGAGGAGCAAUUGGAGGGCAAGUCUGGUGCCAGCAGCCGCGGUAAUUCCAGCUCCAAUAGCGUAUAUUAAAGUUGUUGCAGUUAAAAAGCUCGUAGUUGAAUUUCGGGGCCAGUAGGUUGGUCGUGCCACUGGUAUGUACUGGCCUUACUGGUCCCUCCCUCUUGUAGAACCGUGAUGCCAUUAAUUUGGUGUUGCGGGGAAACAGGACUGUUACUUUGAAAAAAUUAGAGUGCUUAAAGCAGGCUCGCGCUUGAAUACAUUAGCAUGGAAUAACGGAAUAGGACGAUCGAACCUAUUUUGUUGGUUUCUAGGAUCGACGUAAUGAUUAAUAGGGAUAGUUGGGGGCAUUAGUAUUCAAUUGUCAGAGGUGAAAUUCUUGGAUUUAUUGAAGACUAACUACUGCGAAAGCAUUUGCCAAGGAUGUUUUCAUUAAUCAAGAACGAAAGUUAGGGGAUCGAAGACGAUCAGAUACCGUCGUAGUCUUAACCAUAAACUAUGCCGACUAGGGAUCGGAUGAAGUUAAUUUUUUAAUGACUCAUUCGGCGCCUUACGGGAAACCAAAGUGUUUGGGUUC